GACGAAGGAUGCAAGCGUUAUCCGGAUUCAUUGGGUUUAAAGGGAGCGUAGGUGGCCUUAUAAGUCAGUGGUGAAAUCUCUGGGCUUAACCCAGAAAUUGCCAUUGAUACUGUAGGGCUUGAGUAUAGUUGCCGUUGGCGGAAUAUGACAUGUAGUGGUGAAAUACAUAGAGAUGUCAUAGAACACCGAUUGCGAAGGCAGCUAACGAAAACUAUAACUGACACUGAGGCUCGAAAGUGCGGGGAUCAAACAGG
RNAcentral lists this ribosomal RNA (254 nucleotides) under uncultured bacterium. RNAcentral describes it as "partial 16S ribosomal RNA". It matches the Rfam family "Bacterial small subunit ribosomal RNA", at positions 524 to 776 of the family's 1533-position model. The record is from RNAcentral.